Molecule: ribosomal RNA, 1412 nt
Filed under: uncultured bacterium
Lineage: Bacteria
Description: 16S ribosomal RNA
Rfam family: Bacterial small subunit ribosomal RNA
Source: RNAcentral
GGUGAACGCUGGCGGCGUGGCUAAGGCAUGCAAGUCGAACGCCUUUCAUUAGCAAUAGUGAAAGGAGUGGCAAACGGGUGCGUAACACAUUGGUAAUCUACCUCUAACUCGUGAAUAAGCCUUUGAAAAAGGGUCUAAUACACGAUGGUCUGUACUGGCGCAAGCUUUGUACAGUAAAGUUCCGGCGGUUAGAGAGGAGCCUAUGGCCCAUCAGCUAGUUGGCAGGGUAAAAGCCUACCAAGGCAACGACGGGUAGCGGGUGUGAGAGCACGACCCGCCUCACUGGGACUGAGACACUGCCCAGACUCCUACGGGAGGCUGCAGUCGCGAAUAUUCCUCAAUGCACGAAAGUGUGAAGGAGCGACGCCGUGUGAUUGAAGAAGCCCUUCGGGGUGUAAAAAUCUUUUAUUUGGGACGAACUAAUGACGGUACCAAAUGAAUAAGGGGCUGCUAACCUCGUGCCAGCAGCAGCGGUAAUACGAGGGCCCCAAGCGUUACCCGGAUUUAUUGGGCGUAAAGCGUGUGUAGGUGGUUUUUUAAGUCAGCGGUUAAAUCCCUCGGCUCAACUGAGGACCAGCCGCUGAUACUGUGAAACUUGAGUCUGGAAGAGGCAAGCGGAAUUGCCGGUGUAGGGGUCAAAUCCGUUAAUAUCGGCAGGAACACCAAAUGCGAAGGCAGCUUGCUAGGACAGUACUGACACUCAAACACGAAAGCGUGGGGAGCGAAGCGGAUUAGAUACCCGCGUAGUCCACGCCCUAAACUUUGGAUACUAGACAUUGGGAGUAUCGACCCUCUCAGUGUCGUUCAAAAAAGCUAACGCGUUAAGUAUCCCGCCUGGGGAGUACGGCCGCAAGGCUAAAACUCAAAGGAAUUGACGGGGACUCGCACAAGCGGUGGAGCACGUGGUUUAAUUCGAUAGUAACCGGGGAACCUCACCAGGGUUUGAAAUCUAGCUGCAAGCCUCUAGAAAUAGGGGCCUCCUUCGAGGGUGCUAGACAGGUGCUGCAUGGUUGUCGUCAGCUCGUGCCGUGAGGUGUACGGUUAAGUCCGAUAACGAGCGCAACCCUCAUCCUGAUUUAUACUUUAUCAGGAAACUGCCUCGGAUAACGAGGAGGAAGGUGGGGAUGACGUCAAAUCAGCAUGGCUCUUACAUCCUGGGCAACACACAUGCUACAAUGGCCGGUACAAAGGGUCGCCAAGCCGUAAGGCGGAGCUAAUCCUUAAAACCGGUCUCAGUUCAGAUUGAGGUCUGCAACUCGACCUCAUGAAGCUGGAAUCGCUAGUAACCGUGAAUCAGAACGUCACGGUGAAUACGUUCUCGAGUCUUGUACACACCGCCCGUCAAGUCAAGAAAGUCGGUAAUACCCGAAUAGCGUUGUAGGACUCUAGAAGGUAGGAUCGAUGAUAGGGGC